RNAcentral lists this ribosomal RNA (894 nucleotides) under uncultured bacterium. Its description in RNAcentral is "bacterial SSU rRNA". It matches the Rfam family "Bacterial small subunit ribosomal RNA", at positions 8 to 916 of the family's 1533-position model. The record is from RNAcentral.
AGAGUUUGAUCCUGGCUCAGAAUAAACGUUGGCGGUGCGCCUUAUGCAUGCAAGUCGAACGGGGUUACGGUCUUCGGAUUGUAACCUAGUGGCGAAUGGCUGAGUAACGCGUAAGUAACCUGCCUUGGAGUGGGAAAUAACUUGCUGAAAGGCAAGCUAAUGUCCCAUGUGGUAACGAAGCAAAUGCUUUGUUAUUAAAGCCUUAGGGUGCUCCGAGAGGGACUUGCGUCUGAUUAGCUAGUUGGUAGGGUAAUGGCCUACCAAGGCGAUGAUCAGUAGCUGGUCUGAGAGGAUAGUCAGCCAGAUGGGGACUGAGACACGGCCCCAACUCCUACGGGAGGCAGCAGCAAGGAAUCUUGGGCAAUGAGCGAAAGCUUGACCCAGCGACACCGCGUGAGGGAAGAAGGCCUUCGGGUUGUAAACCUCUUUUCUUGGGGAAGAAUUCUGACGGUACCCAAGGAAUAAGCCUCGGCUAACUACGUGCCAGCAGCCGCGGUAAUACGUAGGAGGCGAACGUUAUUCGGAUUUACUGGGCGUAAAGGGAGCGUAGGCGGUUUCUUAAGUCAGAUGUGAAAUCUUCUGAUUCAAUCAGAAGGCGUCAUUUGAUACUGAGGGACUUGAGAAUAGCAGAGGGAAAUGGAAUCCCCAGUGUAGCGGUGAAAUGCGUAGAUAUUGGGGAGAACACCAGUGGCGAAGGCGAUUUUCCAGGUUAUUUCUGACGCUGAGGCUCGAAAGCGUGGGGAGCGAAGCGGAUUAGAUACCCGCGUAGUCCACGCCCUAAACGGUGGACACUAGACAUGGGAGGUAUCGACCCUUUCUGUGUCGAAGCUAACGCCUUAAGUGUCCCGCCUGGGGAGUACGGGCCGCAAGGCUAAAACUCAAAUGAAUUGACGG